GACGAACGCUGGCGGCGUGCUUAACACAUGCAAGUCGAACGGAAAGGCCCUGCUUUUGUGGGGUGCUCGAGUGGCGAACGGGUGAGUAACACGUGAGUAACCUGCCCUUGACUUUGGGAUAACUUCAGGAAACUGGGGCUAAUACCGGAUAGGAGCUCCUGCUGCAUGGUGGGGGUUGGAAAGUUUCGGCGGUUGGGGAUGGACUCGCGGCUUAUCAGCUUGUUGGUGGGGUAGUGGCUUACCAAGGCUUUGACGGGUAGCCGGCCUGAGAGGGUGACCGGCCACAUUGGGACUGAGCUACGGCCCAGACUCCUCCGGGAGGCAGCAGUGGGGAAUAUUGCACGAUGGGCGGAAGCCUGAUGCAGCAACGCCGCGUGCGGGAUGACGGCCUUCGGGUUGUAAACCGCUUUCGCCUGUGACGAAGCGUGAGUGACGGUAAUGGGUAAAGAAGCACCGGCUAACUACGUG
This 468-nucleotide ribosomal RNA is filed under the name uncultured bacterium. Its description in RNAcentral is "partial 16S ribosomal RNA". It matches the Rfam family "Bacterial small subunit ribosomal RNA", at positions 28 to 507 of the family's 1533-position model. The record is from RNAcentral.